AGGACGAACGCUGGCGGCGCGCCUAACACAUGCAAGUCGAGCGAGAACCAGGGCUUGCCCUGGGGACAGCGGCGAACGGGUGCGUAACACGUGAGCAACCUGCCCCAAAGACCGGGACAACCCGAGGAAACUCGGACUAAUACCGGAUGCCCUCACCGGGUCGCAUGGUCUGGUGAGGAAAUGGAUUCCGCUUUGGGAUGGGCUCGCGGUCUAUCAGCUUGUUGGUGGGGUAACGGCCUACCAAGGCGACGACGGAUAGCUGGUCUGAGAGGACGAUCAGCCACACUGGGACUGAGACACGGCCCAGACUCCUACGGGAGGCAGCAGUGGGGAAUCUUGCGCAAUGGGGGAAACCCUGACGCAGCGACGCCGCGUGCGGGAUGAAGGCCUUCGGGUUGUAAACCGCUUUCAGCAGGGACGAAUUGACGGUACCUGCAGAAGAAGGCCCGGCAACUACGUGCCAGCAGCCGC
RNAcentral lists this ribosomal RNA (471 nucleotides) under uncultured bacterium. RNAcentral's name for it is "SSU rRNA". It matches the Rfam family "Bacterial small subunit ribosomal RNA", at positions 26 to 518 of the family's 1533-position model. The record is from RNAcentral.